Molecule: long non-coding RNA, 429 nt
Filed under: Medicago truncatula (barrel medic)
Lineage: Eukaryota; Viridiplantae; Streptophyta; Magnoliopsida; Fabales; Fabaceae
Description: lncRNA gene29829
Source: RNAcentral
GGUUCGGCUUUCUCUCCCUUGUUCCGGUUCGGUGCAAGCUCUUGUUGUUGUGGUUGCGUGAUGUAUUCGAAUUUGUGGGGUUUAUGUGUGAAAAAUGAUUCUGUAAAUCUUUGUGUUCAUCAUGUUCAUAUGAUUUUUUUUAUGAAUUUUGGGUGAUUUGAUCUGAAAUUGGAUGGAAGAGAAAAGGUUUUAGGGUUUGUUGAUUGUGAUUGUGAAUGAGUGCUGGUUGGAUCUGUGUGUACAGUGAUUUUUCUCUGACCCAUUUCCCAAUGAUUGACAGUGUUUUUAUAGUGACAAACUAGGGUUGGCUCUGGUACAAACAAAUGACCAAAAUGCCCCUGCAGCUGAGACUUGGAGAAAAAGAUUUGACCAAAAAGAUAAAUAGAUAAAUAAAAAAACAAAAUGAAUAAAAUAAAUAAAAAAUAAUAA